RNAcentral lists this ribosomal RNA (119 nucleotides) under Helianthus annuus (common sunflower). The record is from RNAcentral. Lineage: Eukaryota; Viridiplantae; Streptophyta; Magnoliopsida; Asterales; Asteraceae.
GGUUGCGAUCAUACCAGCACUAAUGCACCGGAUCCCAUCAACACUCCGUAGUUAAGCGUGCGUGGGUGAGAGUAGUACUAGGAUGGGUGACCCCCUGGGAAGUCCUCGUGUUGCAACUC